Molecule: transfer RNA, 74 nt
Filed under: Capsicum annuum
Lineage: Eukaryota; Viridiplantae; Streptophyta; Magnoliopsida; Solanales; Solanaceae
Rfam family: tRNA
About the family: Transfer RNA (tRNA) molecules are approximately 80 nucleotides in length.
Source: Rfam by way of RNAcentral
UCACUCUUAGUUCAGUUUGGUAGAGCAUGGGUCUCCAAAACCCGAUGUUGUAGGUUCAAAUCCUUCAGAGCGUG